This 958-nucleotide long non-coding RNA is filed under the name Daucus carota (carrot). RNAcentral describes it as "long non-coding RNA (DCAR_LNC000422)". Lineage: Eukaryota; Viridiplantae; Streptophyta; Magnoliopsida; Apiales; Apiaceae. The record is from RNAcentral.
UUGAAAACCAGAAAAAGAAAACAAAAGAGCCGAAGCUCUAAUCAAGUUGUAGCUUUGAGUUGGUGAAAUAAAAAGUGUGUGUUUGUUUGUUAUACAGCCUAUACAUAUUAAUAUUGCGUGUGUUUAAAUACUUAUAUGGUCCAUUUCGUUUCCAACAGAAUUGAAGUUUGCUAAACAAUGAAGAAAAUGCUUCAAAACUAGGGGUAAGAAUGUCAGAUUAUUGAAUUAUACUACAAUCUUGAAAAAUAAAAAUUUUCACUGUACGUUUAUGCUAUAUACUGUUUGGUUAUUUCAGGGGUUUUUAUGAGUAUACAAUUGUUUACCAAGUACAGUGAAGCCAGGGGUACCCAUUAGCUCUAAGCAGUACAUGUUAUAACAUAUAAAACAAAGGCAAAAAGUUCUGCUCUCCUGCUGCCAAGAAGGCCGAUGUUGUUGACGUGGAGGCGUGAGAGUCGUUGGAUGUGAUCUGUUCUGCUAGUUUUUACUGUUUUAGUUUAAUGUGGUUAAUGGGAUGCAGGUCUAGGCUAGUAGUAGUCUAGUCAUAAAAGUUCAGUAUUUUGGGUGUUUAGAUGGAUGGUUAAAUUUGAACUUGAUAGACAGCUUUGUAUACAACCCUCUAGACAGGAAGUUGCUUUCUAUAUUAUAUCUACAGCCCGGUGAUGUAUGCUUCUGUUCUUGCGGCUAAUCCUACAAAACACAAUCAGUUUGCUCUCGGGCUUAGUGAUGGUGGCGUACUUGUUAAAAAACUUCGGAGGAUAUUGGAAAUGGCUAUGUAGCAUGCCAUAGCUUGAGACCAGCAACAAAUGAAAACUUGAUAUGAGCUUUUGUGAUAAUCAGAGCCGGGUGUCUCUUAGAAUCUGAAUGUUUUAGCACAUACAUGUACAGAUUGGAUUAGUGCAAGGGUUUUAAAGAUGUUUUUCUGCUUGGCUAUGUUAACUAAUAAAUUUUCAAUGCGAAU